UUUCUUCUCUGCUGAUCUUCCCUGGAGCUGCUGCUGCUUCCCGUGGGGAAUACAGAUGAGGCUGGUGAUGCACCAGGAGCAGGCCAGGGGACUCUGAGAUGAUGACUCUUUGUCAUUGUGAAUAAUUCUCUCUGAAUUCUCAGGUUUCUGUUUGUGGGGACAUUCAUGGACAAUUCUUUGACUUGAUGAAGCUCUUUGAAGUCGGGGGAUCUCCUGCCAACACUCGCUACCUCUUCUUAGGGGACUAUGUUGACAGAGGGUACUUCAGUAUCGAAUGUGUGCUGUAUUUGUGGGCCUUGAAAAUUCUUUACCCCAAAACACUGUUUUUACUUCGUGGAAAUCAUGAAUGUAGACAUCUAACAGAGUAUUUCACAUUUAAACAAGAAUGUAAAAUAAAGUAUUCAGAACGCGUAUAUGACGCCUGUAUGGAUGCCUUUGACUGCCUUCCCCUGGCUGCCCUGAUGAACCAACAGUUCCUGUGUGUACAUGGUGGUUUGUCUCCAGAGAUUAACACUUUAGAUGAUAUCAGAAAAUUAGACCGAUUCAAAGAACCACCUGCAUAUGGACCUAUGUGUGAUAUC
RNAcentral lists this small RNA (581 nucleotides) under Pongo abelii (Sumatran orangutan). Its description in RNAcentral is "processed transcript". The record is from RNAcentral. Lineage: Eukaryota; Metazoa; Chordata; Mammalia; Primates; Hominidae.